Molecule: unclassified non-coding RNA, 213 nt
Filed under: rhizosphere metagenome
Description: partial ribosomal RNA internal transcribed spacer region
Source: RNAcentral
GUAGGUGAACCUGCGGAAGGAUCAUUACAGAGUUCAUGCCCUCACGGGUAGACCUCCCACCCUUGAAUAUACUACCUUCGUUGCUUUGGCGAGCCGCUUCGGCUACCGACCUUGGUUGGUAUGUGCUCGCCGGAGAACACCAAACUCUGUAUUAAAUGUCGUCUGAGUACUAUAAAAUAGUUAAAACUUUCAACAACGGAUCUCUUGGUUCUC